AUUGAACGCUGGCGGCAUGCUUUACACAUGCAAGUCGAACGGUAACAGGGUGCUUGCACCGCUGACGAGUGGCGAACGGGUGAGUAAUGCGUCGGAACGUGCCGAGGAGUGGGGGAUAACGCAGCGAAAGUUGUGCUAAUACCGCAUACGUACUGAGGUAGAAAGUGGGGGACCUUCGGGCCUCACGCUAUUCGAGCGGCCGACGUCUGAUUAGCUAGUAGGUGAGGUAAAGGCUCACCUAGGCGACGAUCAGUAGCGGGUCUGAGAGGAUGAUCCGCCACACUGGGACUGAGACACGGCCCAGACUCCUACGGGAGGCAGCAGUGGGGAAUUUUGGACAAUGGGCGAAAGCCUGAUCCAGCCAUGCCGCGUGUCUGAAGAAGGCCUUCGGGUUGUAAAGGACUUUUGUCAGGGAGGAAAUCCCUAGUGCUAAUAACACUGGGGGAUGACAGUACCUGAAGAGUAAGCACCGGCUAACUACGUGCCAGCAGCCGCGGUAC
This 500-nucleotide ribosomal RNA is filed under the name uncultured bacterium. Its description in RNAcentral is "partial 16S ribosomal RNA". It matches the Rfam family "Bacterial small subunit ribosomal RNA", at positions 30 to 523 of the family's 1533-position model. The record is from RNAcentral.